GGAGGCUUCGCCAGACCUUAACUACUUUAACUGUUUAUCAUAUUUCGUUUAUUCAUAUGUUUAUGGUUAUCAAUAACCUCAGCUAAAGGAAAAAGUCACAAUUGAAUUACUCUGGCUCUUUAUAAGCAAAUAUGUCACAGACUGGAAGUAAACAAUAACACAUGAGGCAUUGCAACGUCAUUGAUGGGACAUUGAGCAGAAAGCCGAAACCACAACUUUGUUUGCAAAAGCAAACAAAAAUUAUCACUGAGUAAUUAUCGCAAAAGUUUAAGAGAAUUUUAAAGACCGAAAUGCUUUGGUCAAACGGAGCACACUCUGGAGAGUCUUGUCUAGAGUCAAAAAUAGUACGAAUUGAUAAGAUUCCAUGCGCCAAGAGAGCUGUCUCGCCUUUUGCUUUGUAUUGGUUUUCAGUAUCUCUCGCUCUCUUUUGUGUUUUUGGGAGUUCUGCAGUUGUCUUGUUCUCGGGUAUCUUGAGAGAAUUCGAGUAUCUUAUCUGACUCACAAAAUGACAUAAAAAAAAGAUUGUCAGCUCUGGCUGUUUCUCUGUUUUUCUGUUUGCUUCGUUGUUGCUUGAAUUAACACCUUUUGCAGUUGUGAUAAUGACGCAGCCAACAACUGCUUGUGCGCUGGUGAUUGGUAAUCAACUGAAAUGGAAACAGAUAUAGGGAAAAACGCUCUUUCACGCUCCCUGCGCCGCCAGUUACCAGUAGUUGAGCGGCGAACGCGUUUCGAAAUGGACACGGACGAGAUAAAAGCGAGCACGGGCCUGGCCCACGAUGAAACCGACUUUACCAGCGGCUACGAGACCCAAUAUCGAAAGGAAUACAGCCCGCUGAAGCCGAUAUAUGUCCCGCCUCCCGAAAAGAAGCAUGCCUGGUUUCGCAAUUGGUCCACCAUCCUGAUGAUCUUCUUCCUGAGCAGCGUCUUCACUGUGGGUACCGUGAUUCUGGUGGUUCAGGUCUUCACGGCCAGCCCUCUGCAUGUCUUCAUCAUCGUUGCCGUCUAUGUGGCCAUUGCGGCGUUUAUGAUAUUUCUGGAGGUCCAGUCCAUCAAAGUGCGGUGAUCCUACCAACGAAAAUCAACACCAAAAACAACACUUCAUUGGUAGCAGUCUGUGACUAAUUUGUUGAGUUAUCGUAUAUAAAUUCCGUGCUAAUAUCCCCGAUUCGCUAUCAAAAUGCUCUUGGUUUGUGUGUUGUGCAAAUAAAUUGAAAGCUUAACAAAAACUUAGCCGUUAAUAACUUAAAUACCCAAGAUAUAAAAUAAGUAUUAAAUAAACAAAAACUCCCAAAAAAGAAACCAACAAAAAUGUGAGUUUUAUUAACUAAAUUUUGCUUAAUACAUAACAUUCACUGAUAAGCAUACAGUUGAUUCCAACAAAAAGCCAUAAAUAAACACAAUCUUGAGAGCGCUAAAUCGACCUAGAUUAGGCUGUUGUUUCUGCUAUCGAAGAGCGGCAACCAACGUGCAGUGGAGUACAUGAAAUGGCUGUCAAUAAUUUGUGAAAUUUAAUUACAAAUAAACUCAUAUUUGCCUAGCAACGAGAGCCAACAAGUGCCCAAGAUACAUACAUAUGUAUACCACUUGUAUACUUACACUCGAUGCAUGUGUCUAAUUAAUUAAUUUAAUAGCCCUAGCACAAUGGGCAAUUGAGACAAUGAGCCAUUACCACAUCAGUGAUAUGCAUUCAGUUAUGAAUGAAUUAUUUGGCUACAAGCAUUAGCUGCAAAUACCUUAAAAGCUUAAAGCAGACGCCAAAAUGUUGUAGGAAACCAUCUGUUCUCAGUGCAAAACAUUCUCGAUAACAAAUUUUGUUUCUAAACCUGCAACUUUCCCUGCAAAAAAUAUUCUAAUUCCUAUGUUCCCCAGCAAAUUUUAUUUCUAACCAUUUUCUAAAUAUUUUCACUCGGGAAAUUAUUUCCAAAUCACUUCUGUAAUUGCUUUUCACAUGCCACCAGUUAAAAAACUCUCCCCUUCCGCGGGCUAUUUUCGUUAUUUUUACAACAAUUUUCUCGCCUUGCAGCUGCAGCCUGUGCUCCUGUCAUCUGGUUGGUAAAAUUCUAGUUUAAUAGCUGGCAAUGCUACCAGCAUUUGGGUGGCAUAAAAAACUAGAACGACAAGCUCAUCCAGCACUUCCACAUGCGAAUCGCAGCUAAAAGAAAAAAAACUGAACGCGUUGGCCCAUUAAACUUUAAUUUCCGUUGACAAUGGGCGACAGUUUUUUUAUGUGUCACCCGCUUCUUUGAGACGAGGGCAACAGCUGACUUACCUUAAUUACUCACAGGACUCCUAGCCAUGCUAAUUAUUUGCAGGGUGCACUAUUUGUGCGCCAGACUAUGUCCAGACCUGGGAAACGGGAACCAGCGUGGCCAGCGCAUUUAAUUAUAACCCCGAGGAGGGCGCUUGGCUUGAGCAUUAAUUCCAUUUCCGGUCGCCGACAACCGAGGACCGUGUCGCGUCUCCUGGCUAGCUACACUUUUUUGCAAAAGCAAAAACAUUGCCUUUUGCUGCUAUACCCUGUUAAUGAGAGGUUUUUGUUGGGGUAGUCCUAAUAAAAGUACGUUUAACACUUAUAUUUUUCCCCCGACUCAUUUCAUCUGCAACGAGCACAAUAUCCUGCACCCAUUUCAUGCAUUCACCUCUUGGGUAUCAUGAAGUUCAGCUCUAACUACACAUGCUACAAUUUACUCAGCUUAACACUCCCUGUCUGACAGGAAAAGAGCAAAAAGACGAUCUGAUUAAGGUAAUGCGCCAAGUCAAAGCCUUGUUUAAGCUAAUUUUUUGAGACUGGAACAUAUAAAUCGGGAUUUGUGUGAAUUUAGUGCUCUCAUUUUGUUGUGCGAGAAUUGUGCAAAUUGCAACCGUUGCAAAAAUAUAUUCAACAUGCACAUGAGUUAUUUUUGCAUUGAUUUAUUGCUUAUAUGCCUUCUGGCUCAAUAUUGCACAUAAAAGGCAUUUAAACAAAAGCUGUCUUAUAUUUUAUUUCACAUUUAUUUGUAGAUUUUUUUCCUUUUUUAGGACAUUUAAAAAAAGCCGGCCAUGGUUGAUUUUUGCAUAGGCAAACGAACACAUUUAAUUUUAUUCAGAGUUUAUACAAAGCUUCGAAACAGCCAAAGGAGAAAUCUCGAAUGAAAGCAAGCUGGGAAAUUGUUACCAAAAUGCAUCUAAAGGCCAAGACAUGUGGCUAUUGCCGAGGGAAAUGUCUUGGAAUUUUAUUUAAGUAAAUCUAAGUUGGACGCUUUUCAUUAGCUCACUCAGCGAGUACCAAGAAAAGCAAAACUCAAAAAACAACAAGAAAAGGAUAGUAAAAAUAAAGGAAAAUAAAAUGCAUGCUAGAUGGUGUCCUCCUCAAUGUGUUAUCCUAUGGGAAUCACGUAGAGUUCUUAGAGUAAAUAAAAUACAAAUGCCAACUGACACUCCUCAGAGACUCGUUUUAUUCGUAUUCAACUCUGUGCAACAAUUUAAUAUGGUUUGGUUCGACUCAACAAUUGUAUUGCAAGUGGCUUGGAAAUGCAUGGCCAUUUUAUGUUAAUUAUUUAUGCAAAUUUCGCAAACUUAUGCGCUCUUAUUUUAUAUCCACACACAAUUUAUAAUUCAAUUACCAGACUACAAAGUGUAACCGCGUUAAUAAAACAACACAAAAAUGGACUCACUUUCAAUUAAAGCUGUCGCUUUUCCACACUUCAGUUGCAAAUAAUUCAAUUAAAAAGUCUUUAAAGAACUAUUGUUCAAUGGCGAAUAUUUUACUGUAAGUUAAAGUAGAUUCAGGGGGUAGCAUUCAGCCCGUCCCAGCAACAUUUGAAUAUUCAAUUAAGUCUAACUGCCAAUUCUGUGAUAAGCUCUCCAACCCGGAACACAGACAAUUCUUCUGGACCUGGGUGACUAGCCUUGGAACAUGGCCUACUGGCAAUAAUUUCUGUUGGAACCAUAAAGGAUGACACUUUCCAGCAUUAAGCGAGGAUCAACAUCAACAGCAUAAAGCACUCUGCAAAUGGUACACCACUUGAAUGAACAUUAAAGCUGUUCUGGGUCGCUGUGGAAAGUCAUCCAGAAAGAAUGAAAUAUGAAAGAACAUAGUCCAUACUGUGCUUAAUUUUCUUAAAAAAAAAUCAGUGGAAAAAGUAUCUGUUAGCACUUGCCUUUAACUAUUCUUUAAACCACUGUUAAAUCAAGUAAAUUUGUAUUUAUUGCACUGAGAUUUACACUACGAAUAUUCGGUAGAGUAACAAGCAUGUCAAAGCAUUUUUGUGACAUCCUUUAUUUAUUUUAUAACCAACAAAGGCCAAAAAGUCGAGAGAGCGCAAACAGCAUGCAUAAAUUACCGCAAGAAGAGCCGAGAAAGACCAAACUCCUCGAUGUCGGACUGGACCUGGUCCAGGUUCUCGUCCUCAUCCUCGUCCUGCCACUGCCUCUCUUCGUGCUCCUCCAUGGCAGUGCUAAAAAUGUGUUGAAAUAUUAAAAAAGAGGCCAAAGCGAAAACUGUGGCCAAAUGCAGAUGAGCAGGCACAAAAUUCUCUUCUAUUUGCAACUAUUUGGACACUUUCUCUGCUCUUUUUGUUGCUGUUUCUUCUUUUCUGUGUUGUUGUUGGCAUUUGUAGAAUGCUAAAAAGGCCACUUUAGUUUUAACCACAAAGUUUGCUUCGGUGUAUGUGUUGUCGACCUCGUUGCACUUUUUGGAAGGCUUAGAGAAGCCUGGGGGCAUCGCUCUUUCAUGUCAUUUAACUAUGUUUCAGUCAGGAGGACAAUUGUGCUCAGGUCUGGUCCGGUCCGAGUAUUAGUCCAAGGCCAGCCCCCAGUCCCAGUCCCAGUCCCAGUCCCUGCCAAACCGAUUCAACUUAGUCCUCAGUCAGGCAGGCGUUGAUUGCCAGGCAUUUAAAGUGUUUUCAAUGUAAAUCUAUGUAAAUACAUGCUGUUAAAUAAAAGAGCAACUCUGGUCCAUGGGCCGGAAUGGAAACUUUCGACUGGAUAAAUUGUAUAGCCAUAUUUGUUUGUUUUUGCUAGCUCAAUGCACGUUCCCAAUGGUAGUACCCCAAUGCCCCCAUGUGAGCACUCUUCCUCAGACGAUUCGUAAGACCUUAAGCCAGUCGCUCUUUAAGCCGUAUUUAUGCACAGCUUUUGGUCCAUGUUUAGCUUUCAUUUCCCUUUCUUUUUUAAAUACCCUUGCAGGGAGUACUGUGACUUUUAGGCUUAUAAAGUCUCUGACAUCAGUCCAACAAAAGUUGGCUGUGGAAAAGUGCCCAAUUCGUAGCAUAAUACAAAAAUCUUUGUAACAUUUUUGAACUGUCACUAGUCAAUAUGGCAAAAUGUAAAAAAUGUAAGAAAACUAAAGCUUAUAAAAGAAGGCUACAAAAUUACUCGAGUAAUACGCAAAAAGCUCUCGGUUUGACCAAUAAUGGAUUUUGGAACUUCUUGCGGGAGUUCAGAAGGAAGCAUUACAGGCUGCCGCCAAAAACUUUGAUCCCACAUGGCACCAGGGCUUGGUGUAAGCUCACAAGCAAACAGAAGGAAAAGUAUACCAAAAUGGUAAUAAAGAUUAUAUUUUGUUAUAUUUUGUACUUAUCUUUCAAUUAUAUUCAACAGAAACGGGCCGCGUGGGAACAAGAUCUUUCGUUACUGUGUUUAUGGCAGAUUUUUAAACCCAAACCCCUUACCGUGGCCUCACUUGAUCCAUAUCAAAGCAGCAAAAUAACCAAACAAAUACUUCUUUAAUAUUUUGUGUAUGUCAAAUUUCAAAAUCUGUAAUAGCAUUCAAAUUUCCCCAUCUGAUUAUGUGCCGCCAGUGUUUCUAAUGCAACGACAGUCGAAAAUAAAUUUCAUUUCCUA
Molecule: long non-coding RNA, 5823 nt
Filed under: Drosophila guanche
Lineage: Eukaryota; Metazoa; Arthropoda; Insecta; Diptera; Drosophilidae
Source: RNAcentral